UACGGAGGGUGCGAGCGUUGUCCGGAAUCACUGGGCGUAAAGGGCGCGUAGGCGGCGAGGAUAGUCAACGGUGAAAGCUUGGGGCUCAACCCCGAGUCGGCCGUCGAUACUUCCUUGCUUGAGCACUGUAGAGGCAGAUGGAAUUCCGGGUGUAGCGGUGGAAUGCGUAGAGAUCCGGAAGAACACCAGUGGCGAAGGCGGCUACCUGGCCCACUCUUGACGCUGAGGCGCGAAAGCUAGGGGAGCAAACGGG
Molecule: ribosomal RNA, 253 nt
Filed under: uncultured bacterium
Lineage: Bacteria
Description: partial 16S ribosomal RNA
Rfam family: Bacterial small subunit ribosomal RNA
Source: RNAcentral